Molecule: ribosomal RNA, 253 nt
Filed under: uncultured bacterium
Lineage: Bacteria
Description: partial 16S ribosomal RNA
Rfam family: Bacterial small subunit ribosomal RNA
Source: RNAcentral
GACGUAGGAGGCGAGCGUUGUCCGGAUUCAUUGGGCGUAAAGAGCGCGCAGGCGGCUUGGUAAGUCGGAUGUGAAAUCCCGAGGCUCAACCUCGGGUCUGCAUCCGAUACUGCCCGGCUAGAGGUAGGUAGGGGAGAUCGGAAUUCCUGGUGUAGCGGUGAAAUGCGCAGAUAUCAGGAGGAACACCAAUUGCGAAGGCAGCUCGCUGGGACGUUACUGACGCUGAGACGCGAAAGCGUGGGGAGCAAACAGG